UAUAAAAGGUCUGCAUAAUUUAAUGCGUGUACUGUAUUAUUCUUUCCUUUUUCUGCAGCUGUUGGAACUGACAGGUGUGAAGGCAGAUGAUGUCGCAAUGUGGGAGGUGAAUGAAGCAUUUUCAGUAGUAGUAUUUCUACAAUAUUAAAAUGUGUGACCUGGAUCCAGCCAAGGUCAACAUUCAUGGUGGAGCUGUGUCAUUGGGUCAUCCCAUUGGAAUGUCUGGUGCCCGUAUAUUAACCCAUCUCGCUCACUCACUACCACCUGGGCAGAAGGGUGUGGCAUCCAUAUGUAAUGGUGGUGGUGGAGCGUCAGCCAUGAUGAUUGAGAAGUUGUAAGUCACAUUUCUAGAUUCAGUUUAUAGGAAAUAUAUUACGAUGCAUCUUAUCAAAGUUUUAUAGCUCAAUACUGUAUUAGUUAAUGAUUUGUUUGAUUAGAGUGACUUUUGUGAAGAGUUAAGAUUUGAUAUACUGUACAAUUGAUAAAGAUGAAACUUCUUAAAAUACUGUACAUUUUUGUAGGGUGUAGAGAUGAUGUGAAGUUCAGUUGAUGUCUCUGAAGUGUGUGAAUUUCCUGCCAUUGAUCAUCAAUGCUAAUUAAUCUUACUUGGUUAAAUUCAGAAAUUUAGUUAAUUCUCUUGGGUAUUAUUAAGUGAUUGGAAUAUAAUAAAAUUAUUUUAUGAUAA
Homarus americanus (American lobster) is the source of this 685-nucleotide long non-coding RNA. RefSeq lists it as uncharacterized. The transcript is spliced from 2 exons. The record is from RefSeq and is a predicted model, not a curated record. Lineage: Eukaryota; Metazoa; Arthropoda; Malacostraca; Decapoda; Nephropidae.